AUAUACAGACAUAUUACCCUGAAUGUGCCUGAUCUCAUCUGAUCUCAGCUAAUCAGGGUGAGGCCUGGCAGUACUUGGAUGAGAGACUGCCUGGGAAUACUGACUGCCGUGGGUU
Molecule: ribosomal RNA, 115 nt
Filed under: Microtus ochrogaster (prairie vole)
Lineage: Eukaryota; Metazoa; Chordata; Mammalia; Rodentia; Cricetidae
Source: RNAcentral